AGAGUUUGAUUAUGGCUCAGAUUGAACGCUGGCGGCAGGCCUAACACAUGCAAGUCGAGCGGUAGCACAGAGAAGCUUGCUUCUUGGGUGACGAGCGGCGGACGGGUGAGUAACGCGUGGGAAUCUACCUGGUAGUGGGGGACAACAGUCGGAAACGACUGCUAAUACCGCAUACGCCCUUCGGGGGAAAGUGGGGGAUCUUCGGACCUCUCACUAUCAAAUGAUCCCGCGUCGGAUUAGCUUGUUGGUGAGGAAAAGGCUCACCAAGGCGACGAUCCCUACCUGGUCUGAUAGGAUGACCAUCCACACUGGGACUGAGACACGGCCCAAACUCCUACUGGAGGAAGCAGUGGGGAAUAUUGGACAAUGGGGGAAACCCUGAUCCUGCCAUGCCGCGUGUGUGAAGAAGGCCUUCUGGUUGUAAAGCACUUUCAUCUGUGAGGAAAGGCAAGAGGUUAAUACCCGCUUGCUGUGACGUUAACUCCAUAACAAGGACCGGCUAACUCCGUGCCGGCAGCCGCGGUAAUACGGAGGGUCCGAGCGUUAAUCGGAAUUACUGGGCGUAAAGCGCGCGUAGGUGGCUCAUUCAUUCACAUGUGAAAGCCCCGGGCUCAACCUGGGAACUGCACUUGAAACUGCUGAGCUAAAGUACGGUAUAGGGUAGUGGAAUUUCCAGUGUAGCGGUAAAAUGCGUAGAGAUCGGAAGGAACACCAGUGGCGAAGGCGACUACCUGCACAGACACUGACACUGAAGUGCAAAAGCUUGGGUAGCAAACAGGAUUAGAUACCCUGGUAGUCCACGCCGUAAACGAUGUCUAGUAGCCGCUGGGGGACUCGAUCCUGUAGUGGCGCAAGCUAACGCGAUAAGUUGCCCGCCGUGAGGAGUACGGCCGCAAGGUUAAAACUCAAAUGAAUUGGCGGGGGCCCGCACAAGCGGUGGAGCAUGUGGUUUAAUUCGAAGCAACGCGAAGCACCUUACCUCCUCUUGACAUCCAGAGAACUUUCCAGAGAUGGAUUGGUGCCCUCGGGAACUCUGAGACAGGUGUUGCACGGCUGUGGUCAGCUCGUGUGGUGAAAUGUUGGGUUAAGUCCCGCAACGAGCGCAACCCUUAUCCUUAUUUGCCAGCGCGUAAUGUCGGGAACUUUAAGGAGACUGCCGGUGACAAACCGGAGGAAGGUGGGGAGGACGUCAAGUCAUCAUGGCCCUUACGAGUAGGGCUACACACGUGCUACAAUGGCCGGUACAGAGGGCUGCAAACUCGCGAGAGUAAGCUAAUCUCACAAAACCGGUCGUAGUCCGGAUCGCAGUCUGCAACUCGACUGCGUGAAGUCGGAAUCGCUAGUAAUCGUGAAUCAGAAUGUCACGGUGAAUACGUUCCCGGGCCUUGCACACACC
This 1396-nucleotide ribosomal RNA is filed under the name uncultured Marinobacterium sp. RNAcentral's name for it is "16S ribosomal RNA". It matches the Rfam family "Bacterial small subunit ribosomal RNA". Lineage: Bacteria; Pseudomonadati; Pseudomonadota; Gammaproteobacteria; Oceanospirillales; Oceanospirillaceae. The record is from RNAcentral.